UGAGGAAGUAAAAGUCGUAACAAGGUUUCCGUAGGUGAACCUGCGGAAGGAUCAUUAUAGAAAGUAAACGCGGGUCAAACCGCGAACUUCUAAACCCUUGAGAAUUGACCAAUGUUGCCUUGGUGGGUUCGCCCGCCGGAGGAUACAUCAAAACUCCUGUUUAACGGUGUUGUCUGAGCUAUAAGCAACGAAUCAAAACUUUCAACAACGGAUCUCUUGGUUCUGGCAUCGAUGAAGAACGCAGCGAAAUGCGAUAAGUAGUGUGAAUUGCAGAAUUCAGUGAAUCAUCGAAUCUUUGAACGCACAUUGCGCCCCUUGGUAUCCCGAGGGGCAUGCCUGUUCGAGCGUCAUUUCACCACUCAAGCCUGGCUUGGUGUUGGGCGACGUCCCCUUUCCGGGACGCGCCUUGAAAUGCUCGGCGGCGUGGCACCGGCUUUAAGCGUAGCAGAAACUUUCGCUUUGAAAGUCGGGGCCCCGUCUGCCGGAAGACCUACUUUAAGGUGACCU
This 507-nucleotide ribosomal RNA is filed under the name uncultured fungus. Its description in RNAcentral is "eukaryotic LSU rRNA". The stretch from base 197 to 350 matches the Rfam family "5.8S ribosomal RNA". The record is from RNAcentral. Lineage: Eukaryota; Fungi.